CCUACGGGGUGCAGCAGUGGGGAAUAUUGGACAAUGGGCGAAAGCCUGAUCCAGCCAUGCCGCGUGUGUGAAGAAGGCCUUCGGGUUGUAAAGCACUUUCAGUGGGGAAGAAAGCCUUGGGGCUAAUACCCUCGAGGAAGUACAUCACCCACAGAAGAAGCACCGGCUAACUCCGUGCCAGCAGCCGCGGUAAUACGGAGGGUGCGAGCGUUAAUCGGAAUUACUGGGCGGUAAGCGCGCGUAGGCGGUCUGAUAAGCCGGUUGUGAAAGCCCCGGGCUCAACCUGGGAACGGCAUCCGGAACUGUCAGGCUAGAGGGCAGGAGAGGAAGGUAGAAUUCCCGGUGUAGCGGUGAAAUGCGUAGAGAUCGGGAGGAAUACCAGUGGCGAAGGCGGCCUUCUGGACUGACACUGACGCUGAGGUGCGAAAGCGUGGGUAGCAAACAGGAUUAGAUACCCUUGUAGU
Molecule: ribosomal RNA, 464 nt
Filed under: Vreelandella stevensii
Lineage: Bacteria; Pseudomonadati; Pseudomonadota; Gammaproteobacteria; Oceanospirillales; Halomonadaceae
Description: partial 16S ribosomal RNA
Rfam family: Bacterial small subunit ribosomal RNA
Source: RNAcentral